CGUUUCCUGAAAAUAUAAGAAAUCCUGCCUGCCCAGUGACACUUGUUUAACGGCCGCGGUACCCUGACCGUGCAAAGGUAGCAUAAUCAUUUGCCCUAUAAUUGAGGGCUUGCAUGAACGGCAAGACGAGAGUUUAUCUGUCUCUAGGAUGAAUAAAAAAUUAUGCUUUAAGUGAAGACACUUAAAUUACCAUACAGGACAAGAAGACCCUAUAGAGCUUAACUUUAAAAAAGACAUUCUUUUCUUAUUAUAAAUAAAUAAACACUCUUUUUUAUAGUUUGGUUGGGGCGACCAAGGAACAUAAACCUUCCUUUAUUCUAAAGGGCUACACUCCAUUCUUUGAUCCAUUUCUUGAUUAACGAACCAAGCUACCUUAGGGAUAACAGCGUAAUCUUUUCCAAGAGUUCAUAUCUACGAAAAGGCUUGCGACCUCGAUGUUGGACUAGGAUAUCCGAAAGGUGCAGAAGCUUUUAAUGGUGGGUCUGUUCGACCCUUAAAAU
Molecule: ribosomal RNA, 500 nt
Filed under: Magelona sp. KM4
Lineage: Eukaryota; Metazoa; Annelida; Polychaeta; Spionida; Magelonidae
Description: partial 16S ribosomal RNA
Rfam family: Bacterial large subunit ribosomal RNA
Source: RNAcentral